Long non-coding RNA from Camelina sativa (false flax), 1246 nucleotides. RefSeq lists it as uncharacterized. The record is from RefSeq and is a predicted model, not a curated record. Lineage: Eukaryota; Viridiplantae; Streptophyta; Magnoliopsida; Brassicales; Brassicaceae.
CAGAAAAAUAGAACGCAUUACUAUUAAAGUUGAUAUGAACAUCAAUUAUAUGUUCAUCCUGAUACAAUUCAAAUGUGUCAAACAACCGUUCGCAUGAGUUCUCUCCCAGGCACGAAAACCAAGGUGGCCUCCGCAAGUCUUCAACUGCAUCUCCGAAUGACCACCCUCUGCUGGAUUUUUGUCAGACCUUUUCCGUGAGAAGCCCAUGUGAUUUCUCUCUCGGGAUCUCUCUCCAAUUUCCCGAAGAACCUUCCCCUCUCCAGAGAAAAAAAAAUUUCAUCACCACAUAAUCCCAGAUCUGCAACCGCUCGCCGAUUUUAUGGUGUUUCUCAUUCACCGGUGUCCUUCCACCAUCCUCAUAGUCGUCUGAUCAAAGUUGCGCCUAUUUCAGGUCCGUUCAAGGAUCACGAAGGAUUGUUUCUCUUUUUUUGUUGGUAGAUCUUUGACGCCGGCGACCCUUGUUCCCAUCUCCAUUUCUCGUGUCAAGAUUGUUAUGUUGUCGGUGGUGGGUUCUUCUUGUCCAAAGCCACCAGAUCCGGUGUUGCUGGUGAGUCUUGUGUCGCCUUCUGAUCCUCCAGAACCACCAGAUCCGCCAGACCCUAUCAACGAGUAAACUUCAACUUGGUCGUUGUCGUCCUCUGGCUUGCGUUAUCAAUGUGAACAAUUCUACGGAGAGUGGUAUUCUCUCCUCCUCUGAAGCUUGGCUUGUUCUCUUUGCUUGUGGUUAAAUAGUGUUUCAGAACCAGUUUGUCUUAAGCUUGAAUCUAUCAGAUACUUCUCCGAGUUUAUCAGACACUUCUCCGAGUUUACCGGAGACUUCUUCGGCCUCUCCUUGCUCCCUGUUGAGACAAAGUCAAUUUGUCCCUAGGUUAGAACCACAGUUGUUGGUUCGUUUUCUGUCCAAUUUCGACGGACUUGUUUAACCGGAUACUCGUCCAGUCUAAAGCUAUUUCUGUUGGUUCAAUCUUUGCUCCGAUCCCGCGAAUUUUUCUCACCGGACACUUCUCCGGCGUCUUCAUGUUCGUGUAUAAGGCAGAUCUUUUAACGUCACAAUGUAUGGUGAAUAUCUCUUUACCAGUCGAUGGUUAUGUGUUGAUUGCUACUUCUUUCAUGGGUAUUUUUGUGAUAGUUAUUCUUGACACUUCUCCUGGUGCUCUAUGAAGCUUUUUCAAGUUUGUGUCUUUAUGUUUAUCUUGUGGUUCAAUUAAUUUAUCUUUCAAAUUUGCUAUUCGUAUAUGUCUGAAUA